Molecule: unclassified non-coding RNA, 329 nt
Filed under: soil metagenome
Description: partial contains 5.8S ribosomal RNA, internal transcribed spacer 2, and large subunit ribosomal RNA
Rfam family: 5.8S ribosomal RNA (bases 1-120)
Source: RNAcentral
GAUGAAGAACGCAGCGAAAUGCGAUAAGUAAUGUGAAUUGCAGAAUUCAGUGAAUCAUCGAAUCUUUGAACGCACAUUGCGCCCCUUGGUAUUCCGAUGGGCAUGCCUGUUCGAGCGUCAUUAUAACCCCUCAAGCUCAGCUUGGUGUUGGGGCCUGCUGCACUGGCAGCCCUUAAAAUCAGUGGCGGCGCCAUCUGGCUCUAAGCGUAGUAAUUCUUCUCGCUAUGGAGUCCUGGUGGAUGCUUGCCAUCAACCCCCAAUUUUUCUAUGGUUGACCUCGGAUCAGGUAGGGAUACCCGCUGAACUUAAGCAUAUCAAUAAGCGGAGGA